Molecule: ribosomal RNA, 411 nt
Filed under: uncultured Ramaria
Lineage: Eukaryota; Fungi; Basidiomycota; Agaricomycetes; Gomphales; Gomphaceae
Description: eukaryotic LSU rRNA
Rfam family: 5.8S ribosomal RNA (bases 33-187)
Source: RNAcentral
GCAUGUCUUGAUCAUUCUACGGAAUACAAUACAACUUUCAACAACGGAUCUCUUGGCUUUCGCAUCGAUGAAGGACGCCGCGAAAGUGCGAAACGUAAUGUGAAUUGCAGAAUUCAGUGAAUCAUCGAAUCUUUGAACGCAUCUUGCGCUCCUUGGUAUUCCGAGGAGCAUGCCUGUUUGAGUGUCGUGAAUCUAGCUCAAUCCCACUCCUGUGGGCUUGGAUUUGGAUGCUUGCUGUGGGGGGGACUGACCUCUUUCGGCUCGUCUUGAAAUGCAUCAGCUGGGUCUGCCACUGAGUUUGGUGGGUGUGAUAAGAAACACUUGUAGCGCCAUUUCUAGACUCGGAGGGUGGAUUGCUUCCAAUGUCAUGUCAUUUGACCUCAAAUCAGGUAGGACUACCCGCUGAACUUA